GAGAGAGAGUAAGAGCGAGUGGGGGAGGGACAGAGAGAGGGAGAGAGAGAGAAUCCCAAGCAGGAUCCACGCUGUUAGCACAGAGCCCGACUCGGGGCUCAAACUCACAAGCCAUGAGAUCAUGACCCAAGCCAAAGUCAGAUGCUUAGCUGACUGAGCCACCCAGGUGCCCCUGUAUUUGCUUUUGAUGCUAUUAGAGCUAAUUAGAAGUAAGUAGAAACCUUACCAGGGGCCAGAUAAGUGCUUUGAAAGCGUGAAUUCGCAUUAUCCCCUAAACAAGCCUAUGAAGGUUUUAUUAACGUCAUUCCCAUUUCACAGAUGGGAAAACCAAGGCACAAAGAGGCUGAGCAAACUGCCUACUGACACACAGCCAACACAGGAGCGGCUCUGCUUUGUUUCCCCAGGUGUCCAAAGUAGAAGGAUGCGUUCCAGGAGGUGGUGGAGCUUGCGACUGACCAAAGUCAAAAGUUCGCGGUGUUCCGAGAAUUCAAACAGGAGAGGAGAAUACGCCCUGCUUCCUCAAUGUCCUCUCGACUCCCUCCCGACUCUAUUUUGGGUGAUUCUCCGAGCCAUGCUUACUCCAUUCAGAAUCUCCUUUCACAGCCAUAACCAUUAACAAGUCCAUGAGGAAAAACAUCUCUUCUGAUGGGGAAGCCUCAGGGGAAAGGGCCAGUGACAGCCAGACUCUGACCUGGGACCCAAAGAGCCCAUAAUGGAUGAGACCCGACAGCGGUCUGAGUCUUGAGCAAAGGCUGCGUGUCGUGUUCUUAGAAGGUUCUGAACUGAUGCUGAGGUGGUCAAGAGGAAAUGGAGAAGUCAAGAGAUGCGGACAAGAUCGGGUUGACCAGUUGGCUGUGGAGAAAGAAGGAGAAGGACGGUGCCCUAACAUCUGGCUUGGCGUUGGGCUGGCGCACAGUGGGAGUAGCAGUGUCCUUGAUUUGCUAUUUUUGAAAUCCAAAGCAAAAGGAUCCCUUCUGGAAUUGAUAACUCCCAACCACUGGGUUCCAGUCUCUCCGCCUUGAAAGGAAUUCUCCUUACGUGACCCUGGUUAUACAACUGGUGUGAGAUAGACACCCUGCCGAAGUGUCCCUGGAAGACCUCCCCGUAAUGAAAGUCAUUUCUAUUCUGACCCCACAGCGUCUUCGGCUUGACUUCUCGUCUUCCCCAACCACACGUCGGGGUUGGAACCAUCUGACUCCAACUCCAUUCUUGCCUUUGGCUGUGCUACGUCUUUCUUGCCGCGUAACAAGCUCCCAGUCACAUUUCAAGAGCCUGCUUACUUUCUGAACCCUACAGAAACCUUUCUGCCCCAUCUCAGGCAGAAUUAUUUACUCUUUUCUCUGCCAUCUUCCUAGAUUUUGAAAAGGUCUCCUCUGCUAAUCAAAGGGGAAGAAUUCUUUACUUUUCAUCUCAAUAUUUGCUGAGUUUAUAAAUAAGCACUCGGUAAAUAUCGAAGACAUAAGCAAACAAAUGAAUGUCUGAAAUGCGUAAAUUAGUCCUUGUCUUCAACGGCUUAUUUUGCUACUUAGAAAUAGCAAAGGGUUAGUAGAGCCAUGAAAUGAAGGCUUCCAGCACUUGGCUAUUUGUCUGGAAUGCCUCCAUCACCACUUGACAGCUGUCAGGGGAAAUCACAUCACCUUUGAACCUGAGUGUGUUUCCUCCGCUGUAAAUCUGGGUGGAUGACACCCAACCAGGGGUGACAUCGUUGUGAAGGUUCAGCUGGUAAGCGUGUGCAGGGUGCGUGGCGCCAUGCAUCAAUACUGGGUAUCUGUCAGGAAGUGGUAGAUGGUGGCGGUGGUGACAGGGAGAUAGUUGCAUGAUUUUCUUCUGUGAAGGGGUUCUCUCUUAAAAGAAUGGUUAUCGUAGGUUGAAGCCUGUCUCUCAAAGAUACACGUUGAGGCCCUAACCCCUCAAAUGUGUGACUGUGACCUUAUUUGGAAACAGGGUCUUACAGAUAUUGUCAAAUUAAGAUGAGGUUAUCCUCCACUAUGGUGGGCCCUAAUCCAAUAAUUGGUGUCCUUGUAAGGAAAGUGGAUUUUGUUUCUUUUGUUUUGUUUCUUCAGCUCUAUUGAGGUGUAACUGACAAACAAAACUGUAUGUAUUUAAAAUAUAUAAGAUAGAGGGGCGCCUGGGUGGCUCAGUCAGUCCAACAUCUGACUCUCAGUUUUGGCCCAGGUCAUGAUCUCAGGGUUGUGGGAUCGAGUCCCGCUCAGCAUGGAGCCUGCCUGGGAUUCUCUCUCUCUCCCUCUGCUCCUCUCCCCUGUUCUCUCUCACUCUCUUCCAAAUAAAUAAAUAAAUAAAUAGAGUGAAAAAUCCCUGCUUUGUUCAAGUCCUGUUGCUAGUACUCUGUGCCAUCACUCAGACUUCUUGUCUAAAUUAAAAUAAAAUAUAUAAUAUGGUGAUUUGAUAUCUGUUAUACUUUGUAAAAUAUUUACCACAAUCCAGUUAAUUAACACAUCCAUCACCUGACAGAAUUACUUUGUGUGUGUGUGUGUGUGUGUGUGUGUGUGUGUGUGUGUGAAUACUUAAGUCUACUCUUAGCAAAGUUCAAGUAUGCAAUAUAGUAUUAUUAACUAGGGUCACUAGGCUGUGCAUUAGAUUCCCCAGAGCUCAUUCAUCUUGUAACUGAAGCCUUGUACCAACAUCUCCCCCAUCUACCCCCUGGCCCCAGGGCCUGGUAACUACCAUUCUACUCUAUCUAUGAAUUCAGGCUCCCCCUUUCCCAAAAAAGUUCACAUAUAAGUGAGAUCACACAGUAUUUGUCUUUGUCUAUCUGGUUAAUUUCUCUUCACGUAAUGCCCUCAAGUCAAGGUCUAUCCAUGUUGCUGCAAAUGGAAAGUUUCCUUCCUUUCUCAUGGCUGGAUAGUAUUUCAGUGUGUGUGUGUGUGUGUGUGUGUGUGUGUGUACAUAUACAUACAUACACACAUCACAUUUUCACACAUUCAUCCGUGGAUGGACACUUAGGUUGUUUCCAUAUCUUGGCUAUGGUGAAUUUGCUGUAGUCAGCAUGGUGCAGAUAUCUCUUCAAGAUACUGAUUUUGUUUCUUUCAGCUAUAUAUCCUGGGAUUGCUGGGUCACCUGGUAGGUCUACUUUUAAUUUUUUUAGGAACCUCCAUACUGUUUUCCCUAAUGGCUGCACCCAUUUACGCUCCCACCAACAGUGUACAAGGUUCUGCUUUCUCUACAUCCCCACCAAUCCUUCCCUGUUGUCUUUUUGGUAAAAACCACCCUAAGAGGUAUGAGGUGAUGUCUCCUUGUGGUUUUGAGUUGAAUUUCCCUGAUAACUCGUGAUGGUGAGCAUAUUUUCAGGUUCGUUUUGGCCAUUUUAUGUCUCCUUUGGAGAAGUGUCUAUUCAGGUCCCUUGUCCAUUUUUGAAAUUGGAUUACUUGUUCGCGUUUUGUUUUUGUUUUUGUUUUUGUUUUGCCAUUGAGUUACAGAAGUCCCUUCCUCAGUUUGAAUAUUAACCCCUUAUCAGAUACAUGGUUUGCAAAUAUCUUCUCCCAAUCCCAUAAGUGCCUUUCAUUUUGUUGAUGGUUUCCGGUGCUGUGCAGAAGCUUUUGAGUCUCGUGUAAUCUCACGUGUUUAUUUUUCUUGCUGGUGCAGCAAUCAAGGACCCAGUGACCUGGUGUUUGUGAUAAGUGCCAGACAUUGCACUACCUGUGGGUAUGAUACAAGGUACAGUCUGCCCCCAAAUAUAUAUGGUGGGCAUGUCUCAAUGCUUUAAGGACAGACAUUCAUGCAGGUGGAUUGAAACAGACCCAGAAACACUAUGCUUGAUGGAAAGAGGGAGAACAGUGCACCUCGCGAAGAGCGGCAACUUUUAGAAAGUCCGCGAAAUAAACAAUUCCAUGUCCACCUUGGACAAAUACUGCAGGACACGUGUUUCUCCCGGUGAAGACAGUGUCUAUUUGAUUUUCAUCACCUUUCAAAGAAAAAGUGGUUCCCAUCAGCACUAUGUGAUUAUGAACCUUGCAGAUACACUUUAUUUGGCAGUGAAAUUUCUUUAAAAAUGAAAGUUGAUGGUGGGAGAGGGUAAGAAAUAGAAGAUUGGCUACAUGUACGCAGAAACCUAUCAAGAAGGAAAAAUGUUACUGGUACUACAUUAAAGCAGUAAUACAAAGCUACUGUUUUGCCUGCUCUCAAUCUAGAUGUUCAUACAAGAGAAGCUGAUUUCCCCUUUCCUUCUCAGUGAUCAAAUACACAUUCUUGUGCAUCUAACCAUCCGGCCAAGACAAAACCAGGCGGAAAUGAAAGCAAGACUUCUGUCUUCAAGGUAGGUUCUGGGGGAGGCCCACGCACCUUGCUUUCCAGCAGGUGGAGAGACGUGACAGUUUCUUAUACUAUAGUGACAGAGAGACCUGCCAGGGCGCAUGGCUUUAGCCCACCGAGUCUGGGCAGCUGACAUAACUGUGGUCCCCUUGGGCUCUCUUUCUGGAUUGUCCUAUCUCUGACGGCCUGGCAGGACCGUGGUCACUGGGACUGGGUAUUCCAAGGCAUCGCAGUCAUCAGAGAGGAACACCAAAUCCUGAAAAAGAUGUGCAAGGAGCAAGAAUGUUACCGAAUGUGGCCCCAGAGCUCAUGCAUGACGAUAGGACUCCUGGUUAUCUUCAAAGACUGUUCGGUUAUUUCUUUUUGUGUGAAAACUUCCGUCCCUUAUUCUCCCGAGGAGAACCGGCCACGUCUUCACGCUCCCAAAGAACGUGAUAUCAUACUGCAUUAGAAAUAUAAAUAAUCCUGUAUUAUAAUUGUAUCUUCUCCCUGUCUUCCCCCACCCCACCCCACAGACCAAGGGCAGAGGGGAAUGAGGACGGAAAUGGGAGUGGGGAGGGAAUCCAUGGCAAAUCUUUGAUUCACGAACAAAUGGAACCAAAUAGCUAAUCAUGUAUCCUGAGAACUUACCCUGGGCCCAGGCCUGGUGCUAGGAAUUCUCUGAGUGAUCACUUCGCUAACGUCUUAGGACCAAUGGAGUUCCUACAGCGACCCGCACCCAUGGUUGGGGAGUCGUUAUUACCAGUAUCCUUCCAAUGGUGGCGUGAGGUGGGCAUCAUUGCGUCUCUGGUUCACAAAUGGGGAAUGUGUGGCUGAGAGCAGGGACGAGUGGCUCCCAUCUGGGAAGCAGGAAGACGGACCCGAGCUCAGGUCUGUCUGAUGCGGAAGCCUGUGCCCCCGGGGAUCACACGACUCUGCUUUCUAUGUCUAGUGCUCAGGCUUUGGUGUUCUACGUUUUCUGCAUUUUUCUGCCUCCUUCCCCUCUCCUACCAGAAGCCUCCUAUUACAGAGCAUCUGAAGCCCCUCUUCUGGAAAGUCUCCUCUGACCCCAGUGCUCGGAGCUCCCCGAAUUCAUAGCCUUCUCUUCCCAUCCCUGCCCCAUUUGGCUCCUGGCUGAGUCUGUCUCAUAGGUUUAGCAUAUGGCCCUGGAUGUUGUCCCCACACCACUGUGACUCAUGGAGGGGACGGCCUUGUCCUGAGUGCCCGUCACUUACCAAGGGUGACGAUGGUAGAGGAAGGGCUUUGUGAACUGAAAGCACCCCAUAAAUGUUUCUCCUCCUUUCUCCUCAUCUCCGGAGCAUCCCUGUCCCCCACCCUCCUCUUCUAAGAGCCCUGGGCUGAGCAUCUUGGCUGAUCACAGGCAGAGAAGGAAUUUUCAGUAGUGCCACCUACUCUCCUGCAGAAGGAGUUCAUGAUGGUGUACAGUUUCCGCACUUUGUCCUUCAAGGCAUCCACCUGGGCCACUUUCCAGCACUGGGGCGAAGCCACAAAGUCCCGCAGCUUGGCCAGCACGCAGUAGUUCUGGGAGCGGACAGCAGGGGUAGGGUCACGGAGGCGUCAGCAGCCAGAGGGACAGGAGUUGCGCGCCCCUGCGCCCUUCUGCACAGGCUCUCUCCCCACCCCAUGCCUCCCCCAGGCAGGAAGACCCUCUUACAUGUAUAUCCAGGUAUAGCCUGGGCAGGUACCUCACACACGCCUCCUGCGGGAAGGGAUACGGAUUACCAUGAUGCCCACGGGCACACAACAUCGGCUGGUCACAGAAGGCUCCCUGCCACCCUCCCAACAGCCAUACAACCCCAUACACACCUUCCUUGAUCUGAUUUUACACACACACACACACACACACACACACACACACGCAUGGAUUUGAUUACCUAUGCAUGGUCAGAAAGCUGUAAUACUAUCCACGAGAAUGUUAUGGCAGUUGUUACCGCUAGUGGUAGAAUGGCAAGUGAUAUUUAUUUUCUUCUCUGUCCUUUGUGCUUUUUCCAACUGUUCUAUAAAGCACAGUAUUCCCCCCCCCCGGCCCCACUUAUAUGUGGGAGAUAUAUGCCAAGACCCCUGUGGGUGCACAAAACCGUAAAUAAUACUGAACCCUAUAGAUCAUAUUUUUUUUCCAAUACAUAAGUAUGAGCCCAGAUAAAGUUUAAUUUAUAAAUUAGGCUCAGUGAGAGAUUAACAGUUACUACUAAUGAAAGAACAAUGACAACAACAUACUAGAAUAGACUGACCCUCUGACCAUACGUCAGAAGGGGGAUCAUCUGCUCUGGGGCCGCAGCUGACCGCGGUUGACCACAGGUAACUGAAACCCCGCAAAGCAAAUCCACGGAUGAGGGGGGAUCUACUAUAUAUGCCUUUUAUAACUAGGGAAAAAAUUCACAUUAUUUAAGUUUUAAAAUAAAAUAAAAUAAAAUAAAAUAAAAUAAAAAAGGUGUCAGGGUAUCAUAAUCCCACAUCUGAGAAACAUUACAUUUUGUUUGAAGUGUUUACGCUGGGUGAAGAGACACUUUAUAUUUUUUCAAAGCUCUUAAUGAGGUUUCAUUUGUUUCUCUACGGGACAAGCGGUCAGGGGACCCGGGUUCUAGCUCUGGGCAGCUCUUCUGGAACCUCCUGCCCCCACCGUGCCCUGGGUCUGCCUGUUGAAACAGCAGUGAUAACAGCACUAACGUUCCUGGGGCGACCCCCGCCCCGCGCACUGCGCAAGCCUGUCUCAUUCACGCCUUUACCCUCACAUCGCCCGAAGAGGGUGGCGGGCUCUCUACCCGCCCCCCUCCCCUCCACAGCCCAUCACACUGAGAUUCAGGGGCCGAGCGCUUUGCCCAGGGUCCUGCAGCAGGGACCCGUUCUGGGGGUCACCCCCUCAGCCCACGCUCACCAUCUCCAGGCUCGGUGAGGGCAAUGAGCUUAGUUCUGUGUUCCUCCUCAACUCCGGAGCUCUAGGCUCCUUGGGGAGCUUUUAUUUCAUUUUACAACAGAUCCUCUCAUUGCUGCUGGCAACUUACAAACAAAGACCUUGUGAGGUCUUGGAUAGAUUUCCCUUCUAGUCAAAACACAAGAGAUGCAAACCAUUGUUAUCUUACUUAGUAGGAUGGGAAUAAAAUGCAAACCCUUGAGAUAAACAUUGACCAGAAAAGAAAGGAAAAAGAGCGUGUGUGUGUGUGUGUGUGUGUGUGUGUGUGUUUUCCUGGCCCAAAGGCACGUUUUGGGAGACUGGGUCUGCACGGAGCCUCCUGGUGGGCGGAGGGCAGGUGGGGACUCACCGAGGGCUCCAUGGCCUGCAAGCGCUGGGCGUCCCCAGUGACCUCCCGGCUCAGGCUCAGCAUCCUGGAGUAGCAGGUCGGGGGAGCGGGCUGUGCCGCGGGAGGUCCGGCCAGAAGCAGCAGCAGCAGUGGGAGCAGCCCGGGCGUCAUGGUGCUAAGGCAGCCUCCCUGCGCCCCUGUGGCCGGCAGGCGCCCCUUUAAGCGGCGGCUUGGGGGUGGUCCUCCACACCUCCUCCGCUUCCUGUGGGCCCCCGCCAAGGCCACAGAGCACACCCACCUGGCCCUGGACACUGGAUCCUUUCAGACCUGAAGCCCCCCCCACCCCCCACCGCCUUGUGAGAGGAGCGGCCCGCCUGGGGACACCUGGAAAGGAUGGGGGUGGGGGGGCCCUUCCUCUCCCACACCUUCUCUGCUGGCAGGGGCGCUCCUGAAAAGGCAGGGCCGGUUGGUGAGGGGGUGGGGGAGCACAGGAAGACAAGGACGGAGUUUCGCUCGGGGUGACGGGUGGGCAUUCGGGCUCCGCAGUUGGGGUGGGGACCCUGUUGUUAAACCAGAGCAGAGCCGGGGGAGGGAGGGGGGCCGGAGGUGAGGGAUUGAGCACCAGUGAUGCAGGGGCUUGGGGUCAGGCAGCCCGGUGUCGACGUGUCCACCCACCACUGACCACCCAGAGGAAGCCUAGGGGGUCACUUACCCUUGGAGUGGCUGCGCCUCUGCGUCUGCAAGACGGGCUCUUCCCGUGCCUGUGGUUGGGGGGAUGUGUGAGCACCCCCAAGCCGGGAGCACUUCAAGCCCCUGGCCCAGGCCUCGGUACAGAGCAGACCCUCGGGAAGCGUGGUUUCUCCGAAUGUGCAGUGGCUCCUUUAGUGACAAGGCUCUACGGGUGACGCUCCUGUACAGAGACCCAGUUAAGGAUGAGCUCUCCCCUCAGAGAGGGGCCCACUUCCGGUGACGCCCUUGGGCAGGUGUUUUGGCUCUUGCCUCCCUCUCAUUGUCUGUGAAAUGAGGAUGACAGGAGCGCCUAGCUCAGAGGCCCACGGUGAGGAAUAAAGGACACAGACCUGGUGUCACUGGCUGAGCUAAUGUCACUGUCUCUACGCACACGAGUGUCCCUGUGGGGGCGCGGGCGCCGAAAACAGCCCCAUCUUCCAGGUGGGAAAACUGAGGCUCAGAGGAUUCCAGCAACUGGCCCGAGGUGGGAAAGCUGGAAGCAAAUGGGUCGAGGCGGGGCUUUGUGCCCUGUCCUCCUGCGAGAAGCAAGAUCCUCGCGGUCAGAGAUGCACUUGGGGCCCUUGGGCUGCCCAAGGGGGACCAGAGAACAGGCAAGGAGAGGAGUUGUCACAGAGAGGAAGGUACCUACUCGACACCGAGCGUCACUGCACACCGUUUCUGUGACAGCUAUCCCGGCUGUUGUCACAAGUGCCAUGAGCCCCACGGAAAGUCCAUCAAGUGGGUGGGGUCAUUCCCAUUUCCCAGACGAAGAAACAGAGGUCUCGGGGGACAUGAAACUGGUUGAGGUCACAAGGCUCAUGAGGAACCCGGGCCUGUGUCUGUAGGUCUCCCAGGGCUCUCGGGCUGCAAGGGAGGGUACAAAGGAGUGUGGUGUCCUGCCCCUGCCUCUCCCUGCGGCAUCUGCCCCGAGAAAUCCCAUCCUGACCGGUACCGCGCAUCCCCUGUCCACACACAGAGUAGCACCACCCCUGUCCCUUCCAGGCCCGAGGUCUUGUUUAUCUAGCUUUCCGGUGUGAAAGCCCUGGGCUGGGAUCACAGCCACGCCUUCCUGUUUUGCAAGUGGGAGUGGAUUCUCUCAACACUUUUAUCGACAUGACCUGGGGACAGUCUCUUGGGCACCCUCCCGGACAGGAUGGGACUGUGUGGGUUUGGAGCUGGGCGGGCAGCAAACAGAGAGGUGGUUUUCUUCUGGAUGAAGGAGUCCCUCACUCCCUGCAUGGAGUGCCUACGGCGUGGGCCUCCCUGGCAGACCAGCGGGCCCAGCCAGGGACGCCAGGCCUGCUUUGAAAGGCUCCAGGGCUUCUGGAUGGUUCCAUCGAAUGAGCUUCAGAUUCAGAGCAGGGAAGAAAAACAAGCCCAGGCACCCAAACAAGUCCUUGGACCAUUCAGAUGGAGAGGAUGGUGUGCUGGAAAACAGGAGUCGUCAGUGCGUUUGAAGUCCAGAUAAACAUGUCGCUAGGAGAUCCAGCCUUGUCUCACUCGGGACACGGUGAGCGAGCGGUUGUGGAUGGGGCCCCUCGGGCAGAUCAGAAGCUUCUCCUGCACCCUGAGCUCCAGAUGCUGAGCUCACCUUCGCCCCCUUCCUGUCAAGUGCGCCUCCAGAGCCUGCUUGCAUACCUCCCUGGAUGGGGAACUCAUUGCCUGCUGGGGCCACUCUCCAGGCUCGGGGCAGCUCUGGCCGAUGCAGAUUUUCCCCAAGGUGAAGGUGAGUUGUGAUGACUCCCCUGUGCUCCCAUCUUUGGCUUAAAACUGCUUUCCCUUCUUCCGCAGAACAGCCCUGUCCCGAUCCUAAGGCCACCCCUGUUCUUCAGUCUGUGCUCAAGCACCCAUCCUUGCCCCUCCAGACAGAGUCGGCUCUCUUUCAGAGCAAACGUCUCCCGCGGAAGUGGCUUCCGGAUCUUUUCCCACAAUCGCAUCAUGAUUAACGUCUUUCUGCCUGGAGUAGAAAUCCUCUCUCGCCAGCCCGUUUCAAGGGCUCCCCUGGUUCCCCGAGGCCUGGAAGACCUUCUGAGGUCUCCGGCCUCCUCUCCAGUCUCUUCCUGGUGGCGAUGAUGAUAACUCACUCUGGAAGUGCUGCCUUGCUCUGAGGCCAGGGCAAAUGUCAGUGUAUGUAUUUUACCGUCGUCAUUUGAGGGCACCGAGGCCCAGAGAAGCCGAGUGACUUACUCCAAACCACACAGCAUUAGUAGUCGCAAGGGUCUGUAGUCACCAUACCCAAGUGGCCUUUAACUUUCAAAUAUGCUAUUCCCUCUUCUUGGAACACCGUUCCCUCACCUAGUGUCCCGGGUUUGCUACUUCUCACCCUUCCAUUCACAGCUGCAGUGCCGCUUUCUCCAGGAAGCCUGCCUUGACCCACAGAGGCUGGACUGGGUCCCCUCUGCCCGACCAUCUCCCCCAGACCCAUCACCCUCCCCUGCUCUGCCACGGCAUUGUCCUCUCUGGCUGUUGUCUGUCUGCUUACCCAUCCCCAUGGGCAGAGCAAGUGUCCACUGUGUCUUUAUGUCCACAGCAUGGGGUCUGGGGCCAACACGGAGCACAUGUUCAGUAAACAUCUCCCUCCAAGUGGAGACGACCACCCCUUUAUUCACCCUGGUGUGUGUCACUGGGUUUCAUACCAUCUGGGACGCAGACUGGAACAGCCCUUCUUGAGAAGUUUGAUCAAAAUGAGGCUGUCACCUCCUUAUUCUGGGUCCCUCUUGGGUCAGUUAGGACUGUAGGUGGCACGUUACAGAAGACACAGCUUGAGAAGCCAAAGGCUAAAUUUCUGGAAAGUGUACCUGGAAAGUGCAAUGGUAGCAUGGAGCUCGGGAAUGGUUUGAUCUAGGGACUCAAUGACAUCAUUAAGAAAUCAUCUUUUCCUGCCUCCCUAUUCCACGCUAUGAUGGCCUUCUGAUGGGUCAGCUUCUUGAGGCUACUGUUCCCGGUUAUUCAGUCAAACACAAAACCAGGUGUCUCCGUGAAGAUAUAUGUGGAUGUGAUUAAAGUCCAUAAUCAGUCGGCUUUAAGGGAGGGACAUCGUCCGAGAUAUUCUGGGUGGCCCUGAUUCAAUCAGUUGAAUGAUAUCAGGAGUAGAAUGGAAAAUGAAGAAGAACUUCCCUGAAGAAGAACAAUUUCUGCCUGUGGAGCAGCCUCGGCCCAUCCUGUGAGUUCCUCUUUGCCUUUCCUGAUGGCCUGCCCUACUCCUUUUGGACUUUCUUGUCUGGCCUCCACAAGUGUGUCAGCCAACUCUUUAUAGUGAAUCCCUUACUAUGUCUUUCUUCUGCCUCUUUGGUUAAACCUUUCCUGACACGCAUAUUGUCUGCUCCAUCCUGAAGCCAGGCCCCCGUGUGGUCACAAAGUGGCUGCCGAUAGAGUGCGGGACACAUGGUACGUCAUCCCUGUCCAGAGAUGUAACGUCUGCCCCUGACUACUAAAGAAAGGCUGGAGCUGGUAGCCGACCCUGCCCUUGCUUGUCUUGUGACCUAGCACCUUGAUAGCCUGGGGCUCCUUUUUUAGGACCUCUAGAUAAAAAGGAUGUAACCUUUUCCUUCUCGCUGUUCAGACUGGCAGAUUCCGAUAAGUGACGCAGGUAAUAACCAGGGGAAUGCUCUUUGUUCCUGGCCCCAGGGCUGAUGGGAGAUUCCUGAGCCAACUCGCUGUUUUCCUGCCCCCUUGUUACUUGGCUCCGAUGCAGAAUCGCACCUUUCCCGAAUGUUCCCUAUGUUCCUGUCCUGGGUCUGCGACGGCAGCCAAGGUUGAAAUGGCCGUGGCCGUUCUCAAAUCCCCGUUGCCUCGCGUCCAAAAGGAAGUGCCCAGGGACAGCUUCUUCAGAAAACAGAGUCUGAGAUGCUAACUUCAGAGGCUAGCGUUGGAGGCCACUUCUCUGGCAAAGGGGCCACCUCUGGGUCUCCGCGCUGCCUGCCUGCGUUCUGAGGUCAGAAGCCAGGAUCCGGGGACGCCCGUGCUGCCCUGACCCGGCAGUGACAGCCAGGAGGUAUUUGAGGUGGGGGUGGGUUGAACGACUAGCCACAACGUUACCCCCAGCGUUCCUGUUGAUGUCAGUUUUCCUUUGAUUAAAAGCAACACUUGUCCCCCUGUUUAGGUGAUGUGUUUUUGAGCGUGUUACUGGUGAUCUUGGCAAACCCGAGAGGAAAGUUGGCCCGCAGGGUCCCGAGUGAAGGAAUGAAGACAAACACUAAGGCAGGGCUUGGCUUUUGGGCAGUGAGUAUAAAAAGAAUCCCAUGUUUUAGACAACAGACCCCUCUAUAAGCCUCCAAGACAUGGAAUCAAAUUUUAAUGGGAUCCAGUGUACCGGACAAGUUCUCCCAAAUGUUUUCCCCGGGCCUGUUUACGCAGCAGGGACUCAGAAGGAGUCUUUUAAGGAGAGUCCCGGUUGGCUUAGCGGAAAGAGCAGAGGCUUUGGAGUAAUACAGACUUUCAGUCUCACUUCUGCAAUGAUGUGAACAAAUGGCAUUAUGUGUGCAAAUCUUGUCAUCCCUCGUCUGCCUCUGACGCGUGGGAUUUAUAACAUUUACUGCCGAGUUUCCGUGAAGAUUAAAUAAACAUGAAGCAGCUGGGGUGGCUGUGGGGGCCGGGCUGUUCUUUUUCUUUAUCUUUCCUUUCUUUGCUGCUUAGAUAGACCUUGCUCUUUCUCUCCGUCUUGGGCCAGCUCCUACCUCGCCGCUCUGGCGCUGGUGAUGGGCAUGGGACCCACGUGCUUCCCUGGGGUCGAUGGGCGGGGACGGGGAGAGAGCCUCUCUCUCAUCCCACCGAAGUUUCCACUGUGGCCGAGGCAGCUGUGUCUCCUGCCCUGGGGCCGGGGUCUCCACCGGAGGGGCAGGUGUGGCUAGAAUGUGCAUGAGCAGAGCGGGCAGGUGGACGGAGGAAAAGUCUGGACAGAGCUACAUCCCUGAUCCGGUUCCAGAGGCAGAGUCCUGCAAUUCCUGGGUGGACUCUGUGAGCUGCCCGGGCUCAUUUCCGGCUACGGACCAAGUAUUGGGUUUUGCUAGCUCUGGCUUCAGUGAGGCUUCCUCUCUGUCUCGCAGAUGGAAGCGUUCUGGCUAACACAGUCCCGACCCGAGUGCCCAGCAUGGCGCCGAUGCUCACGACCAUUGCUCUCUCUCCAUGAUUCACUACUUACGGCUGUCACGGGUGCUGGCCGCCAAAUCCGUCCAGGCUCCUCUCUCCCAGACCCACGCUGGGACUGAGCGUCCUGCCCCCUUCAAGUUGCGCGUGGCCAUGUGAGUUAUUGUGUGCAUUGACACAGAAGAGGACGUGAUGGGCUUUACUUCUAGGCAGAAGCUUUAGGAGCCAGUCCAUGCUGGGUGACACUCUUCCUGUCUGCUGUGGGACCGCCCGAGUCAUAGAUGGACGGUGGCUGUUCUCUCAGGCUCACCCCGAGGUGGAGAGGACCCAGGGCGGCAGCCCAGCCCACCGUGGUGCGGACUAAUGCUUGCUUGUUGCCACACAAGACCUGGCCCAGCCCGACCGCGGUGGGUGGGCAGAAUCCUACGAUGAAACCCGGCGACACCUAGGGACCCCCUCCCUUGGAGCCUGGGCAGAGCCUGGGCAUAGGACCAGGCGUCACUCCCGUGGCUAGGUGAGUUACAGGGCCAAACAGGUCUUGUCGGUGUCCCGGAGGGGACUAACCAGUAGGCUGUGAGCUCAUCAAAAGGAAGAUUACCCAGGCGGGACCGAUCCAAUCACAUGAACCCGCUGAAGGCAGGGAGUGUCCUCUGGUUGGUGGCCGAAGGGGAGGUCAGAGAGGUUCCAAGCGUAGGAAGGAUUGGAUCUGGCAUUGCUGGUUUGAAGGCAGAGAAGGAACGUGGUGGCGUUAGGAGCAGAUGGCAGCCGUGGGUGAAAGACAACAAACAGGAAGCUCAGACCUACAGCCACAGGGACUUGGGUUCUGGUGAUAACCCGAAUGAGCCUGGGGACAGCUUCUUCCCCAGAGGCCCCAGAUGUGAGUCCCUAUCUGCGAGACCCAGUGAAGAGAUCCCAGCAGAUUCCACCCAGACGUCUCUGUUCUCCUGAGCCGGGAGCUAAUAAAUACGGGUGUUGUUUUAA
Molecule: long non-coding RNA, 14303 nt
Organism: Acinonyx jubatus (cheetah)
Lineage: Eukaryota; Metazoa; Chordata; Mammalia; Carnivora; Felidae
Exons: 2
Source: RefSeq, a predicted model, not a curated record